RNAcentral lists this ribosomal RNA (520 nucleotides) under uncultured Glomus. RNAcentral's name for it is "SSU rRNA". It matches the Rfam family "Eukaryotic small subunit ribosomal RNA", at positions 569 to 1091 of the family's 1831-position model. Lineage: Eukaryota; Fungi; Glomeromycota; Glomeromycetes; Glomerales; Glomeraceae. The record is from RNAcentral.
AGCAGCCGCGGUAAUUCCAGCUCCAAUAGCGUAUAUUAAAGUUGUUGCAGUUAAAAAGCUCGUAGUUGAAUUUCGGGGUCAGCAGGUUGGUCGUGCCUCUGGUACGCACUGGUUUCGCUGAUUCCUCCUUUCUGAAGAACUGUAAUGUCAUUAAUUUGGUGUUGCAGGGAAACAGGACUGUUACUUUGAAAAAAUUAGAGUGUUUAAAGCAAGCUAACGCUUGAAUACAUUAGCAUGGGAUAAUGAAAUAGGACGUUUGAUCCUAUUUUGUUGGUUUCUAGGAUUGGCGUAAUGAUUAAUAGGGAUAGUUGGGGGCAUUAGUAUUCAAUUGUCAGAGGUGAAAUUCUUGGAUUUAUUGAAGACUAACUACUGCGAAAGCAUUUGCCAAGGAUGUUUUCAUUAAUCAAGAACGAAAGUUAGGGGAUCGAAGACGAUCAGAUACCGUCGUAGUCUUAACCAUAAACUAUGCCGACUAGGGAUCGGAUGAUGUUAAUUUUUAAUGACUCAUUCGGCGCCUUAC